AUUAAAUACUGCUGACUUGUAAGGAAUCUUGCUUUAGAUUUUAUUGUAUUUGAAGUUACUAGGUGGACCUUAUAUAGUAUGUUUACCUGGCUGCAAUUUGGGGUUUGGGGAACAUGAGGGGUGGGGUGAACUGUUGUUGUUUUAGGUUUCAGUCAGACAGACAUCCCUGCGCCUCAGUUCCCAGAAGCACAGCAGGCCUCUAGGAGCAUCCGUGGGAAAGGCGCAGUCCUGGCAUCACCAGCUUCUCCUGCUCAGGCUCAUCCCAUAUGCAGAGGUCAAAAGGGUGGGGCUUGAGAUGGGGGAAGGAACGAGAACGUAUAGGCUAUGGCAUUGCAGUGCUGCUGUUGACCAGCUUUUGGUGCUUCUGUCAGUGUGUUGCUUGUUUUAAGUUAGCAAGUCUGUACAUUUAUUUGGGAGGGUGAAAAAACAAGCCAUUAUUAUUGCUAGUCAGUCUUGGAAUAGUUCCUCAGUAUGUAAUUUCAAAUAAAUUUCAGAUGUAGACUCCAGUGGCAAAGAAUGGCAAUAGAAAUGAGUAUUAGAUUUUUAAAGGCAGAAGACAUCAUCCUGUCUUCUUAGAACCACAUUUGUUUUUCCCUACCCUGAGUUUUGCUGUGUUUGUAAAUAGUUUAAGGCAAAUACAUUCAUGGUCAGUCCUUUUAAGGGAAUUACUGAAUAUUAACUCUUUUGCAAAAAAAUACCCACUGCUUAUCUGGGCAUACAAAUGCUACCCUAUUUUAAAUGUAGGUGGCGUGUGUGUUCGUGCUUUAAUGUAUUCAGAGCCAUUGGGCAAUAAGCAGUCCAGAACAUUGAAAGCAGCAGAGAGAUAAACUGGUAGGUGGCAGCAGAGAAAGGAAUUCUUCAGACUGAUGGCUGUUGACCUUAAACCUACAUAGGAGAAGAGAUAGCAUGUGACGUACCAAGUGGAGCGAGGGGCAGCACAGAUGAAAACUGGACUCAGGAAGGCUGCCUCUUUACUGAAUGUUGUCUCCAUUGAUGAAGUAACCAGUGAUGUUCUGGAUGAAGAUAGAUCUUUGUCACCUUUUAGAGGGGGGAAAAGAAUGCAGAAUAAGAAGGAAUUGGUUCUUUAUAUCUUGUUGCAUUCAGUGUGGGUUUUCUUUUUCUUAAUAAACACUGAAUGGGAAUGAA
RNAcentral lists this long non-coding RNA (1146 nucleotides) under Mus spicilegus (steppe mouse). RNAcentral describes it as "lncRNA (ENSMSIG00000029047.1)". Lineage: Eukaryota; Metazoa; Chordata; Mammalia; Rodentia; Muridae. The record is from RNAcentral.